This 1087-nucleotide ribosomal RNA is filed under the name Streptomyces pseudogriseolus. RNAcentral describes it as "bacterial SSU rRNA". It matches the Rfam family "Bacterial small subunit ribosomal RNA", at positions 128 to 1228 of the family's 1533-position model. The record is from RNAcentral. Lineage: Bacteria; Bacillati; Actinomycetota; Actinomycetes; Kitasatosporales; Streptomycetaceae.
GACCUGCACUCUGGGACAAGCCCUGGAAACGGGGUCUAAUACCGGAUACUGAUCAUCUUGGGCAUCCUUGGUGAUCGAAAGCUCCGGCGGUGCAGGAUGAGCCCGCGGCCUAUCAGCUUGUUGGUGAGGUAACGGCUCACCAAGGCGACGACGGGUAGCCGGCCUGAGAGGGCGACCGGCCACACUGGGACUGAGACACGGCCCAGACUCCUACGGGAGGCAGCAGUGGGGAAUAUUGCACAAUGGGCGAAAGCCUGAUGCAGCGACGCCGCGUGAGGGAUGACGGCCUUCGGGUUGUAAACCUCUUUCAGCAGGGAAGAAGCGAAAGUGACGGUACCUGCAGAAGAAGCGCCGGCUAACUACGUGCCAGCAGCCGCGGUAAUACGUAGGGCGCGAGCGUUGUCCGGAAUUAUUGGGCGUAAAGAGCUCGUAGGCGGCUUGUCGCGUCGGUUGUGAAAGCCCGGGGCUUAACCCCGGGUCUGCGUCGAUACGGGCGGCUAGAUUUCGGUAGGGGAGAUCGGAAUUCCUGGUGAGCGGUGAAAUGCGCAGAUAUCAGGAGGAACACCGGUGGCGAAGGCGGAUGUCUGGGCCGAUACUGACGCUGAGGAGCGACAGCGUGGGGAGCGAACAGCACUAGAUACCCUGGUCGUCCACGCCGUAAACGGUGGCCACUAGGUGUGGGCAACAUUCCACGUUGUCCGUGCCGCAGCUAACGCAUUAAGUGCCCCGCCUGGGGAGUACGGCCGCAAGGCUAAAACUCAAAGGAAUUGACGGGGGCCCGCACUAGCGGCGGAGCAUGUGGCUUAUUCGACGCAACCGGAAGAACCUCACCAAGGCUUGACAUACACCGGAAAACCCCGGAGACAGGGUCCCCCUUGUGGUCGGUGUACAGGUGGUGCAUGGCUGUCGUCAACCAACCGUCGUGAGAUGUUGGGUUAAGUCCCGCAACGAGCGCAACCCUUGUCCCGUGUUGCCAGCAGGCCCAUGUGGUGCUGGGGACUCACGGGAGACGCCGGGGUCAACUCGGAGGAAGGUGGGGAAGAGUCAAGUCAUCAUGCCCUUAUGUCUUGGGCUGCACACAUGCUAC